RNAcentral lists this unclassified non-coding RNA (152 nucleotides) under uncultured fungus. RNAcentral describes it as "sequence contains ITS1, 5.8S rRNA gene". Lineage: Eukaryota; Fungi. The record is from RNAcentral.
UCGAGUUUUAAACUCCCUUAACCUUUGUGAACAUACCGUUGUUGCUUCGGCGGGACAGCCCCGUCCCCCUGUGCUCGGAAAAGCGCACCCGCCGAGGAACCAAAACACUGUCUUAACUCUAGGCUUUCUGAGUGGCAUAACGCAAUAAAUAA